UGGAACAAUUUACCUGACCGCAGGGCCUAAGAACCGGCGACUUAUCCUUCAAAUGUCUGCCUUAUCAACUUUCAAGGGUAAAUUAUGCCCCUACCUGGGUUGUAACGGGUAACGAAAAAUCAGGGUUUGAUUCCGGAAAGGGAGCCUGAAAAACGGCUCCCACUUCCAAGGAAGGCAGCAGGCCCCCAAAUUACCCCCUCCCGGCCCGGGGAGGUAGGGACAAAAAAUAACAAGCUGGUCUCAAUGAUUUCCGGCUUUGUAAUGGAACCAUUUUAAAUCAUUUAUCGAGGAUCUAUUGAAGGGCAGGUCUGGUGCCAGCAGCCGCGGUAAUUCCAGCUCCAAUAGCGAUAUUAAGUUGUUGCGGUAAAAAG
Molecule: ribosomal RNA, 371 nt
Filed under: Nematoda sp.
Lineage: Eukaryota; Metazoa; Nematoda
Description: bacterial SSU rRNA
Rfam family: Eukaryotic small subunit ribosomal RNA
Source: RNAcentral